GGUAUAUAGCUUAGUGGUAAUAGCAGCGAACUUUUAAUUCGAAUGUCUUAGGUUCGAAUCCUAAUAUAC
RNAcentral lists this transfer RNA (69 nucleotides) under Pelagomonas calceolata. It matches the Rfam family "tRNA". Rfam says of the family: Transfer RNA (tRNA) molecules are approximately 80 nucleotides in length. Their secondary structure includes four short double-helical elements and three loops (D, anti-codon, and T loops). Further hydrogen bonds mediate the characteristic L-shaped molecular structure. tRNAs have two regions of fundamental functional importance: the anti-codon, which is responsible for specific mRNA codon recognition, and the 3' end, to which the tRNAs corresponding amino acid is attached (by aminoacyl-tRNA synthetases). tRNAs cope with the degeneracy of the genetic code in two manners: having more than one tRNA (with a specific anti-codon) for a particular amino acid; and 'wobble' base-pairing, i.e. permitting non-standard base-pairing at the 3rd anti-codon position. The record is from RNAcentral. Lineage: Eukaryota; Pelagophyceae; Pelagomonadales; Pelagomonadaceae.